AAUUAUAUUACUUUAAAUAUAAUAAGGAUUAAUUUUAUGGCUAGUAUAUAAAGAGACUAUUAUGGAAAAAUAAAAAGCUGUAUAUUAAACCACUAGUACCGUAAAAAUGAUGGAGUAAUUUCCAUUUAUUAAGGAAAAUGGUAAAAGAAUUUUUAUAAAAAAAACGAAGUGAAUUGAAGUAUCUUAUUAGCUUCAGGAAAAUAAAUCAAACGAGAUUCUAUUAGUAGUGUGAAUGAAAAUAGAUAUAGGCUUAAAGUAAAAUGGAUUAAUCUGUUUGAAUAUAGGGGAACCUUCCUCUAAGCCUUAAUAUAAUAUACAAGAAAUAGAGAAUAGUACUGUGAAGGAACUAUUGGAAAUAGUAGUCUUAUAAGCAGCUCAAGAUAAGUUUAAUAAACAUAUGAGAGCGUACCUUUUGUAUAAUGGGUCAGCAAGUUCUAAUUAGAUGCAAGCAAGUAGUGAUUAAUGAUGAUAUAUUGAAUAAUACGGAUAGUGUGUUAAACGGUAUAGAUUCAUGAAAAAUAAUCAAUUUGCCUAGAUAAUCCAAUUAUUAAGUAAUGAAUUAGUAUCUAAUUAGAGACCCGAAGAGUAGUGAUCUUACCAUGGUCAGGCUUAUAAAAGGCCGAAUGGGUUAUCGUUGUAAAGAUAUCCAAAGAACUGUGGUAAGUUAGUGAAAGACAAUCCUGACUACUAUAGCUGGUUUUCCGCGAAACAUAUGUAAGUAUGUAGUUUAAAUAACAUCAUAGCAGGUACAGAACUGUAAUCUCGGACAAUUUGUGCAUUAGUAUUCUUUGGGUAUAUAAUGCCUUGUGCAUAUGGGGGGGUCGUGAAGACUCUAUUCGCGAGUAUUUGCUCUCGGAAGGGCAAUGAUGAGUGUUGAACUAUCAGACAUUUAACGAUAAGGUUGUAUGUCAAAAGGGAAACAGCCCAGAACAAGUGUUUAAGGUUCCAAAGUUUUUGUUAAGUGAAAGUAAGGAAGUAUUUAAACUAUACAACCAGGAAAUAGGCUUAGAAGCGGCCAUUUUUUAAAGACCUCGUAACAGAGCACUGGUUCAAAUGGUUAAUUAAUUAACCAAAUUAGUUAAAAGCGCCGAAGAUAUAACGGAUCUAAAACAAAACACCGACACCUUGUCCAUAAUAAUUAAUAUUAGAUUUAAUCUAAUUUUACUAUACUUAAAUAUUAUUUAAGUAUUAUUUAUGGGGUAGCGGAACAUUGGGUAAAUAGGAUUAAAAAUAGGUAAUAUGUAUUAACCCUUAUAAUCUUUUUUUAAUUUAUAAAAACUAGGUUUAUAGGCACUACAUCUAUUUUCAUAAUUACAUUUGUAAUUUGCUCGUUAAAUAGCGGGUUUCCAUAAAUAUCCCAAGUGAGAAUGCUGACACGAGUAACGAAAAAGAGGAUGCGUAAUAGGUCCUCUCGCCUUAAGCUUAUGGGAAAAUAAAUCGGUCUCUAAAUUAAACCUAAAGGAUAAAAUGAUGAGGAGAUUAUAUGUGACAACAUAAAGAAAUUGAGUAAAAUGUUCUGGAAAAGCAUAUAGUCUGAGGAUGUACAUAAAUACUAGUAAAUAAACUAAAAAGAAAAUACUAGACUUCCUUAUGAAUAUAAAACCGUACCUAAAAACUACCACAAGUAAGCUAGUAGAGAAUACGAAGGCGUUUGAGCUAACAAUCAUUAAGGAACUCGGCAAAUUGACACCGUAACUGAGGGAGAAGGUGUGCCAUUCCUACUGAUUAAUAUCAGUUUAGGAAGAGGAGACAUAAAAUGGUGUUGCACGACUGUUUAAUUAAAACACAGCACUUUGCGUAAGAUGUAAAUCAAUGUAUAGAGUGCGCUAUCUGCCCAAUGAUGGCUGGUUAACGGAUUUACUUAGAUUACUAAAAUAGGCUAGGUUUUGAAGGAACCCCCAUUUAAUGGCGGCCUUACCUAUGAGGGUCCUAAGGUAGCGAAAUACCUUGGCAUUUAAAUGAUGUCGCGCAUGAAUGAUCUCACGAUGCAACAGCUGUCUCAAUGAUUGGCUCAGUGAAACUGGAAUGGCAGUGAAGAUACUGCCUAUCUCUAGAUAGACGAGAAGACCCCAUGCAGCUUUACUGUUACUAGUUAUAGGGUAUAAUGUAACAGGUUUUAGGGAAUAAGGUAGUUGACUGAUGGAAUUGAAACACCUUUACUCUGGUUGUUAUAUCAGUAGAAUAGACUACAUUUUUGUAGUUGACGUCUGAAUGUAAUCCAUAAAAGGAGGGAGAUUACAUCAAACUCAGGAGACAAUGGCUAGCAGAUGGUUUAUGCGGGGCACAGAUCCCAUAAAGAGUACCUGGGAGUAUCCAAAUUUAUUUUUGUAAUAUGCUAUACGCAAUUUAUAUAGGGCUUUUAUUAAAUAAUUGCCUUAUAUAUCUUAAUUUUUUAAUUACUAUAUUUAGUUUGUUAUUUUUUAUAUUUACUUUUAUAAAGUAUCUAUAACUAAUUCAGUUAUAUUUCUAUUUAAGUUAGAACUAAAACAAUUUAAUAUAAGUAAGAUUUUACCUAUGUGGAAAAUAGGUGUAUAUAUAGUAUUAAUUAUUAAUAUAUAAUUGAAUUAUAAACACAUUGUUGUUUAUACAAUAUUAAUUGUAACACUAUUAGUUAUUUUUUUUAUCUAAAUUUGAUAAGAGAAAAUGAUGUUGAUAUAUACUUCCAAAGUUUAAUGGCUUAAUCUUGCUUUACUGUUUGACAUACACGUCUAUCAGUUGCGUAAGCAGGGCAUAAAGACCGCAAGACGCAGUAAGGAAAGGUCUUGUAUUAUUGAAAAAGCUACGCUGGGGAUAACAGGCUAAUUGCGCCAGAGAGUACAAAUUGAGUGCGCAGUUUGGCACCUCGAUGUCGGCUUAGCUCAUCCACAUGAAUGCAGGAAUCAUGAAGGGU
RNAcentral lists this ribosomal RNA (2890 nucleotides) under Pseudopyrenochaeta lycopersici. RNAcentral describes it as "bacterial LSU rRNA". It matches the Rfam family "Bacterial large subunit ribosomal RNA", at positions 1 to 2572 of the family's 2925-position model. Lineage: Eukaryota; Fungi; Ascomycota; Dothideomycetes; Pleosporales; Pseudopyrenochaetaceae. The record is from RNAcentral.